Molecule: ribosomal RNA, 253 nt
Filed under: uncultured bacterium
Lineage: Bacteria
Description: partial 16S ribosomal RNA
Rfam family: Bacterial small subunit ribosomal RNA
Source: RNAcentral
UACGGAGGAUGCGAGCGUUAUCCGGAUUUAUUGGGUUUAAAGGGUGCGUAGGCGGCCUGUUAAGUCAGCGGUGAAAUCUAGGGGCUUAACUCCUAAAUUGCCAUUGAUACUGGUGGGCUUGAGUGUAGAUGAGGUAGGCGGAAUGCGUGGUGUAGCGGUGGAAUGCAUAGAUAUCACGCAGAACUCCAAUUGCGAAGGCAGCUUACUAAGGUACAACUGACGCUGAAGCACGAAAGCGUGGGUAUCAAACAGG